GUCACGCUUGCGAUUCCCUUUCAUCUUUUCAAUCAUGUUGCGCUCAACUGAAAUGAUAAUCAGUAACGUUAUCGCACUACACCCACUACAUCGUCUUCAAUUCUUCUUUAAUUUCUCCUUCAGUUUCGUGGAUCCAUAUAUAUACAAACCAAGCUAGAGACGAACCGAAUUCCUAUUCAUUUCGACCAUGGCGUCUUCUCAAGUUCAUUUCCGGAGCUUAAGGCCGGCCGUUGCAAGCAGAUGUUUCACACCAGACUCCUGCAAUUUUACGAUGGCCGGAAUGUCAAUAAAGGUGGGGAGCUGAUGGGAGUUGACAUGUUCCUUAUAGAUGUGAAGACCUAAAUCAAUUAUCAACAGGCUCACACUCAAACACGUUUUGAAAGAAUGCUCGCUUUAUGAGCUCAGUGUUUUUGAUGUUGCAAGAAGCAACACUAACUUCAGGUUUUGUGAUGCUCCUGUCGCUAUUAGAUUCACUGAACAAACAUGAGGAACACAUUCUCUCUGAAGCCUAGAUUUCAUGGCCAACUCUCACCAGAAGACCUGGAUGAGCUCCUCAGUUGUGUUGUGGGCGUAGAUAUGCGUGGAUAUGCUCAUGCCUUUCUGGGAUGCUCGGAAUCUCAAGAAAGGCGUCAAUUGUCGGUCUGAUAAUCUCGAAAGUGAUUGAGAUGAUCCUCUAUGAUUAAAGAGUUUUCUUCUCAAGCUAUGUUGAUUUAGGCUUCGAUUAAUGUCCACUGGCUUAAGACUUCAAACACAUAUUGAGUGAAGGAACAUUUUAUGAUCUCAGUGCUUUUGAUGUGACAAAAAGCAAUCCCAGCUUCUGCUUUAGCGAUUGCCAACAUGCUAUUUGCUUCAGUGACCAAACCGUCUUUGUGGAGCUCACUGAACCAUUUGAACAGAUUCCGCUUGAGAGUUUCAGGUUCUGGAAUUAUGAAAGCAAGUUACAAUGAAGAGACUCAGUGUAUCCAGCGCAUGAUGAUCACCCUAAGCAUUAAAAGCCACUCAAAUGUCUGCCUAAGUGCUUUUGACGGAUGAGUUAAAGACUUUGAUGAAGAUUUGCCUGUAAUGCUAAUGGUGUUGUGGAAUAUGGAAGCGGUGAGGCCAUAAAACCAAGUUACGCCUCUGGUGAUGGUCGGAACACAAGUGAGGUUACCCAGAGAAGGAAGAUGGGUCCUCUGGAAAUAAGGCACGGUACGGACUGACUAAUUUGAAAGAACAAGGAGAGCUUAAAUUACACAACAUGGUGACAUGCCUUUUGCAUUAGGUUUAAACUAAAAAAUUCACAGACAAUGAAGUUAGAAUACUUCAAAUCUUUAGCAUAUUUGGUUCUGUUGAUUUAGUUUUUACUUUUGCACCCGUUCAGACAUUUUUAAUCCAGUAAAUUUGAAAUUCCUCCUACAA
Molecule: long non-coding RNA, 1398 nt
Organism: Brassica napus (rape)
Lineage: Eukaryota; Viridiplantae; Streptophyta; Magnoliopsida; Brassicales; Brassicaceae
Exons: 4
Source: RefSeq, a predicted model, not a curated record